AUACGUAGGGGGCGAGCGUUGUCCGGAAUGAUUGGGCGUAAAGGGCGCGUAGGCGGCCGCUUAAGUCUGGAGUGAAAGUCCUGUUUUCAAGAUGGGAAUUGCUUUGGAUACUGGGGGGCUUGAGUGCAGGAGAGGUUAUCGGAAUUCCCGGUGUAGCGGUGAAAUGCGUAGAGAUCGGGAGGAACACCAGUGGCGAAGGCGGGUAACUGGACUGCAACUGACGCUGAGGCGCGAAAGUGUGGGGAGCAAACAGGAUUAGAUACCCUGGUAGUCCACACUGUAAACGAUGAAUGCUAGGUGUAGGGGGUAUCGACCCCUUCUGUGCCGCAGUCAACACAAUAAGCAUUCCGCCUGGGGAGUACGGCCGCAAGGUUGAAACUCAAAUGAAUUGACGGG
This 396-nucleotide ribosomal RNA is filed under the name uncultured bacterium. Its description in RNAcentral is "partial 16S ribosomal RNA". It matches the Rfam family "Bacterial small subunit ribosomal RNA", at positions 523 to 917 of the family's 1533-position model. The record is from RNAcentral.